AAUGAACGCUGGCGGCGCGCCUAAUACAUGCAAGUCGAGCGAGAAGACGUAGCAAUACGUUUGUAAAGCGGCGAACGGGUGAGGAAUACAUGGGUAACCUACCCUCGAGUGGGGAAUAACUAGCCGAAAGGUUAGCUAAUACCGCGUACGCUCCUUGGACUUCGGUUCAGGGAGGAAAGCGAUACCGUGGGUAUCGCGCUCUUGGUUGGGCUCAUGUCCUAUCAGCUUGUUGGUGAGGUAACGGCUCACCAAGGCUUCGACGGGUAGCUGGUCUGAGAGGACGAUCAGCCACACUGGCACUGCGACACGGGCCAGACUCCUACGGGAGGCAGCAGUAAGGAAUAUUGCGCAAAUGGG
Molecule: ribosomal RNA, 357 nt
Filed under: uncultured bacterium
Lineage: Bacteria
Description: bacterial SSU rRNA
Rfam family: Bacterial small subunit ribosomal RNA
Source: RNAcentral